Non-coding RNA from Microcebus murinus (gray mouse lemur), 1476 nucleotides. The record is from RefSeq and is a predicted model, not a curated record. Lineage: Eukaryota; Metazoa; Chordata; Mammalia; Primates; Cheirogaleidae.
CACAUCCUGUCCCAGCCUGCUUCCCCGCCGGCGCCGGCGCCCUCCCCCUCCCCGCGCGAUCGAGGCGCGGGUCCCUCGCGCCACCCCCGCCCCCGCCCCUUCCCGAGCAAACUUUUGGCACCCACCGCAGCCGAGCGCGUUCGUGCUCCGCAGGGCGCGCCGCGCUCCGCCAAUGCCAGGCGCGCGGGGGAGCCAUUAGCAGGCAGGGGAGAGGAGGGCGCAGCCCGCGCCCAGCCCAGCCCUGCCCAGCCCUGCCCGGAGGCAGACGCGCCGGAACCGGGACGCGAUAAAUAUGCAGAGCGGAGGCUUCGCGCAGCAGAGCCCGCGCGCCGCCUGCUCCGGGUGCUGAAUCCGGCCGCCGCCGGGGACACGAGCCAGCGCCGCCACUGGAGCCCGCGGAGCCGGAGCCCGAGCGCGUCCGCGUCCACGCAGCCGCCGGCCGGCCAGCACCCAGGGCCCUGCGCGCCAGGUCGUUGGAGGUGGCAGCGAGACAUGCAACCGGCCCGGAAGCUCCUCAGCCUCCUCUUCCUCAUCCUGAUGGGCACUGAACUCACUCAAAAUAAAAGAGGAAACAAAGGAGAGAAGAUGGGAGGGCCAGAGAGCAAGAGAAAGACCACGAAAGAGAACACGCUGGAACAAGCACCCCUUGUUUUGCCUGGAAGCCCUUGCCGGCUCCCUGGCUCUGCCCAGGAGUGCAGUCCAAACCCCGACCCCACAGUGGUGUUCUGUCAUCCCACUCACCCUCAGAACCCCUGCUCUGUGCCGCCCAGACAGCCGGGCAGUCCCCGCUAAGGAGGUUCUGCAUGGCCUCUGGGAGAUAGGUUUUCUUGGCCCCAGGAAGGCCUGGCCGAGGAGUGGCGGCUGUGCCCCGUGGCCGGACAGAGGCACAACUGGAUCCGAUUUCUACUGGGCAACGAAGAGAACACGGAGCUGUGGCAGCCACGGAGCGCCUUCCCUUUUGCGCCGAAGCCCCCCACCCCGCUGGCGCUGGAGACCCCCGCGGGGCCCGGGGCUACUUUCGGAGCCGCCCAGAGCCCCCCUCUCGGCUGGGCGUCAGCGGGCGGCCCGGGGCAGGCUGGAGCCCCGCGGAAGACCUCCCUGCCAGCAGCCAGGGGGCGGCGGGGAGCCGGAGCGAGGAAAAAUCCACCCAUUUCCUGGGCUGAUUGCGUCGGCCGCCGCCCGGCCGUGUCCCCGCCUCCCGGCCGCGGCCCCCGCGCGCAGCCCGCGCAGCGCUCAGAGCCGGGGGCCUUCCGGCGCGGCGGCGGCGGCGGACGCGCGGAGCGGAGGACGCGGGCGCGGGCGCAGGCGGAGCGCGGGGCGUUGGGGACACGGCCGGCGGCGCCCACCUCCUUGGCGCCGGGGCGGCGCGCGCGAUGGCGGGGCGCGCGGGGCGGCGCGGCGCGGGCGGGCGCGGCGGGCGGAGGGGCGCGGGAACACAGCCGGGCGCCCCUGCCCGCCGCGGUGCCCGCCGCCUGA